CGGCGUGUGGGAAGAUGCACUUAGGGGAAGGGCUGCAGGCGGGGCCUGAGUGAAUCCUUGGAGGUAGCAGGAUCCUAUGGAUCUAGAUGGGCCUGGCACGCCGCGGUCUGCCAGCAGGCGGAUCGUCGCGAGCUGGCGGGAGACUGGUUUGGGUGACGUUCAAUGAGAUUUGGCGGGUUCUGAGGGAGGGUGGACUUACAGGAAGGUAGGGAGAGGGAGUUAAGUGUUUAUAAUUAGUAAUUUGAAGUGUGUGUGUGUGUGCGCGCGCGCGUUGGUACUGAACUUAUAGGCAGUUGUGAGCUACCAUGAUGUGGGUGCUGAUAAUGGAGUUUACAUUCUCUGCAAGUUUUAUGUGUUUUUAACUGAUGAGCCAUUUCUGUAUUCCCCCCUCCUUACUCUUACAUUUGUUUUCCUAUUUUAUGUGUUUUGUCUGCAUGUUUAUGGACUACAUGCGUGCAUUGCCCACAAAGGCCAGAAGAAGUUGUGGGAUUCCCUGGAACUGGAGCAACCAACAGUUUGUGUGCACCAUGUGGGUAAUGGGAAUCGAACCUGGGUCCUCUAUAAGACUGGCCAGUGCUCUUAACUACUGAGGUGCAUUUCUUUCGGAAUUGAUUCACAUAACUAUUAUGCUAUACUGUUUGAAGUAUUUAUUAGAAAAACAUCAGAAAGAGAUUUGGACCACUUUCAUUUACAUGAAGAAAUAUCUUAGGGGUAUCUUUGAGUAUCUUCUGACACUAGAAGAUCCUGUAAACUCUACAGACUUCAACAGAAUUGAAGAACCUGGACAGAGCAGAGUUACCAACAAGAGAGCCCAGGGAUAGCAUUAACAUGGUGGUUACUCAAGACCUAACUCAGCCAGGGAGACAUACCAAGGCCUAUGAGGUGAAGGGAAAAGAAGGGUGACCCAAAGGGCAGGAAUUUUUUAUCCUGAACUUUUGAGCCUUAUAGAAAAACAUAAUUUGUUGGGCAUGUUUUCUGACCCUCAUACAGUUUUUACAACCAUUUGAAGAUAUAGUUCUAGCUCUAGUAGGCUCUACAGGAAGGUAUAUCAAACUUUUUAACAGAACACUUUAUUAUUUUAAAUAUAUGAGUAUUUCACCUGCAUAGGCGCACAGUACCCACAGAGACUAGAAGAGGGUGGCAGAUCUCCUGAGACUGGAGUUAAUGCUUGUGAGCUGCCAUGUGGAUGCUGGAAAUCAAACCCAGGUCCUUUGGAAGGCAGGCAGGUGCUCUUAAUCAUGGAAGCAUCUCUUCAGCUCCUACCCUAGUUCUUUAAUUUUGUUUUAAAUUUUUGAGGUAGGGUUUUGCUAAGUUACUUGGGCUGGCCUUGGACUAGUAACCAUUCUGUGUCAGCCUUCUGGGAUUAGAGGUAUGUGCUAGCAUGUCUAGCAUCUUUCUAUUUCUUUGGUUUUCCUUCUAAUUAAUUAAAAAAUACAUUAUCUUCUAAAUCUUUUAUUGUACAUCAUGAAUGCUAUUUCAGUUUUUGUUUAAAUAAGCUUAAAUGUAAACAUCACUAUAAGUACACCACUAUUUCUAUUGUGCAGUUUCAGUGAUACAAUAUCUUAUCACUUACAGAGUAUUAGUAAUAGUUUAAUUUAAAAAAAAUCAUUUAUUGUUGUUUUUUGUCUCACCCCCCUCCCCUCCCCCAAUCUCUGGAGCUGAGGACCAAACCCAGGGCCUUGUGCUUGCUAAGCAAAUGCUCUACCGCUGAGCUAAAUCUCCAACCCCUAGUUUAAUUUUGUUUUAGAAAGACUCUUACUUAAUGUACUUGCUGUGUGUGAUGGUUUGUAUAUUCUUGGACCAGGGAGUGGCAACAUUUGGAGGUGUGGCCUUGUUGGAAUAGGUGUGACCUGGUUGGAGUAGGUGUGUCACUGUGGGUGUGGGUAUGAGACCCUCACCCUAGUUGCCUGGAAGUCAGUCUUCCACUAGCAGCCUUUGGAUGAAGACAUAGAACUCUCAGCUCUUCCUGUGCCAUGCCUGCCUGGAUACUGCCAUGCUCCCACCGUGAUGGUAAUGGACUGAACCUCUGAACCUGUAAGCCAGCCCCAAUUAAAUGUUGUUUUUUAUAAGA
RNAcentral lists this long non-coding RNA (2071 nucleotides) under Mus musculus (house mouse). Its description in RNAcentral is "RIKEN cDNA A230072C01 gene". The record is from RNAcentral. Lineage: Eukaryota; Metazoa; Chordata; Mammalia; Rodentia; Muridae.